UCGGGAAUUUUGGGCAAUGGGCGAAAGCCUGAUCCAGCAAUGCCGCGUGCAGGAAGAAGGCCUUCGGGUUGUAAAUUGCUUUUGUACGGACGAAAAGGCUCUUUCUAAUAAAGAGGGCCCAUGACGGUACCGUAAGAAUAAGCACCGGCUAACUACGUGCCAGCAGCCGCGGUAAUACGUAGGGUGCGAGCGUUAAUCGGAAUUACUGGGCGUAAAGCGUGCGCAGGCGGUUCUAUAAGACAGAUGUGAAAUCCCCGGGCUCAACCUGGGAAUGGCAUUUGUGACUGUAGAGCUAGAGUACGGUAGAGGGGGAUGGAAUUCCGCGUGUAGCAGUGAAAUGCGUAGAUAUGCGGAGGAACACCGAUGGCGAAGGCAAUCCCCUGGACCUGUACUGACGCUCAUGCACGAAAGCGUGGGGAGCAAACAGGAUUAGAUACCCCAGUAGUCCCUGAGCGGGCUGGCAAGGCGCAU
RNAcentral lists this ribosomal RNA (471 nucleotides) under uncultured bacterium. RNAcentral describes it as "bacterial SSU rRNA". It matches the Rfam family "Bacterial small subunit ribosomal RNA", at positions 355 to 825 of the family's 1533-position model. The record is from RNAcentral.